CCCCACCCACCUAGAGGAGCCUGUUCUUUAAUCGACAUCACACGAUACACCUUACCGCUGCUAGCUACUCAGUCUGUAUACCUCCGUCGCAAGCUUACCAUGUGAACGACACAAAGUGAGCUAAAAGGUUCAUCACCAACACGUCAGGUCAAGGUGCAGCUUACGUAGCGGAAAGUAAUGGGCUACAAUCUCUCCGACAGAACAUACGAAAUACUAUGUGCAACACUUAGUCAAGAAGGCGGAUUUAGCAGUAAAAAGAAAUCAGAGAGUUCUUUUUAAUUAGGCCCUGGGGCGUGUACACACCGCCCGUCACCCUCUUCAACCCACCAAGAAGAGAUAAGUCGUAACAUGGUAAGUGUACUGGAAGGUGCACUUGGAACAACAAA
This 386-nucleotide ribosomal RNA is filed under the name Cophyla occultans (island giant treefrog). Its description in RNAcentral is "partial 12S ribosomal RNA". It matches the Rfam family "Bacterial small subunit ribosomal RNA", at positions 919 to 1533 of the family's 1533-position model. The record is from RNAcentral. Lineage: Eukaryota; Metazoa; Chordata; Amphibia; Anura; Microhylidae.